UACGAAGGGGGCAAGCGUUGUUCGGAAUCACUGGGCGUAAAGGGCGCGUAGGCGGACGUUUAAGUCAGAGGUGAAAUCCCGGGGCUCAACCCCGGAACUGCCUUUGAUACUGGACGUCUUGAGACCGGAAGAGGUAAGUGGAACUGCGAGUGUAGAGGUGAAAUUCGUAGAUAUUCGCAAGAACACCAGUGGCGAAGGCGGCUUACUGGUCCGGUUCUGACGCUGAGGCGCGAAAGCGUGGGGAGCAAACAGG
RNAcentral lists this ribosomal RNA (253 nucleotides) under uncultured bacterium. RNAcentral's name for it is "partial 16S ribosomal RNA". It matches the Rfam family "Bacterial small subunit ribosomal RNA", at positions 524 to 776 of the family's 1533-position model. The record is from RNAcentral. RNAcentral also lists the same sequence under 1 other name.